RNAcentral lists this ribosomal RNA (253 nucleotides) under uncultured bacterium. RNAcentral's name for it is "partial 16S ribosomal RNA". It matches the Rfam family "Bacterial small subunit ribosomal RNA", at positions 524 to 776 of the family's 1533-position model. The record is from RNAcentral.
UACGGGGGGGGCAAGCGUUGUUCGGAAUUACUGGGCGUAAAGGGCUCGUAGGCGGCCAACUAAGUCAGACGUGAAAUCCCUCGGCUUAACCGAGGAACUGCCGUCCAAACUGCUUCGCUUGAGACCGGGAGAGGUGAGUGGAAUUCCCAGUGUAGCGGUGAAAUGCGUAGAUAUCGGGAAGAACACCCGUGGCGAAGGCGGUUCUCUGGGACGGUACUGACGCUGAGACGCGAAAGCGUGGGGAGCGAACAGG